Molecule: long non-coding RNA, 668 nt
Filed under: Pan troglodytes (chimpanzee)
Lineage: Eukaryota; Metazoa; Chordata; Mammalia; Primates; Hominidae
Description: long non-coding RNA NONPTRT000536
Source: RNAcentral
GAAAAAGAGGUGAUUCGUGUUUGGUUCUGUAACCGCCGCCAGAAAGAAAAAAGAAUCAACCCACCAAGCAGUGGUGGGACCAGCAGCUCACCUAUUAAAGCAAUUUUCCCCAGCCCAACUUCACUGGUGGCGACCACACCAAGCCUUGUGACUAGCAGUGCAGCAACUACCCUCACAGUCAGCCCUGUCCUCCCUCUGACCAGUGCUGCUGUGACGAAUCUUUCAGUUACAGGCACUUCAGACACCACCUCCAACAACACAGCAACCGUGAUUUCCACAGCGCCUCCAGCUUCCUCAGCAGUCACGUCCCCCUCUCUGAGUCCCUCCCCUUCUGCCUCAGCCUCCACCUCCGAGGCAUCCAGUGCCAGUGAGACCAGCACAACACAGACCACCUCCACUCCUUUGUCCUCCCCUCUUGGGACCAGCCAGGUGAUGGUGACAGCGUCAGGUUUGCAAACAGCAGCAGCUGCUGCCCUUCAAGGAGCUGCACAGUUGCCAGCAAAUGCCAGUCUUGCUGCCAUGGCAGCUGCUGCAGGACUAAACCCAAGCCUGAUGGCACCCUCACAGUUUGCGGCUGGAGGUGCCUUACUCAGUCUGAAUCCAGGGACCCUGAGCAGUGCUCUCAGCCCAGCUCUAAUGAGCAACAGUACACUGGCAACUAUUCAAGG